UUAAGUUCAGCGGGUGUCCCUACCUGAUCCGAGGUCAACCUUUGAUAGAAAUUUUAACGGCACGGGCCACCCCUCUCGCCAGCGAAUUUGAUGCCACAACGCUGAGAUACGGGUCGUCCAGCCGGUGAAAUUAAGGCGCGGGAGAGCCCCGCCGCCCAAUACCAAGCCGGGCUUGAGUGGUGUAAUGACGCCCGAACAGG
RNAcentral lists this unclassified non-coding RNA (200 nucleotides) under Agaricales sp. Its description in RNAcentral is "partial internal transcribed spacer 2". Lineage: Eukaryota; Fungi; Basidiomycota; Agaricomycetes; Agaricales. The record is from RNAcentral.